AAUAAGAACAAAAAGACGCAUGAAACGUAUGAGACGAAGAUGUGACGAAAAAAUGAAUCAACAAAACAAUGGAUUACAAGUUACUUCUUCUGGAUGUACCGGAACUUCAGUAAAGCCAGGUGUUUUAGUGUUGACCCAUUUAAUUGCAGCUGCGAUUGGGACUUGAGUCUUUUAAUGUGCAUUGUUCAUGAAAAAAUUAAACGCACAAAGAAUGGUAAAAUUAGAGAGAAAAGAAACAAAGAAACUAAAAGUGUCUCUCAUAACCUACAAAAAGUUUCUACGGAAAACAUG
Molecule: long non-coding RNA, 291 nt
Organism: Saccostrea cuccullata (small rock oyster)
Lineage: Eukaryota; Metazoa; Mollusca; Bivalvia; Ostreida; Ostreidae
Exons: 3
Source: RefSeq, a predicted model, not a curated record